UACGUAGGGUGCAAGCGUUGUCCGGAAUUAUUGGGCGUAAAGAGCUCGUAGGCGGUCUGUCGCGUCGGAUGUGAAAACCCGGGGCUUAACCCCGGGCCUGCAUUCGAUACGGGCAGACUCGAGUGUGGUAGGGGAGACUGGAACUCCUGGUGUAGCGGUGAAAUGCGCAGAUAUCAGGAGGAACACCGGUGGCGAAGGCGGGUCUCUGGGCAGUAACUGACGCUGAGGAGCGAAAGCGUGGGGAGCGAACAGG
RNAcentral lists this ribosomal RNA (253 nucleotides) under uncultured bacterium. RNAcentral describes it as "partial 16S ribosomal RNA". It matches the Rfam family "Bacterial small subunit ribosomal RNA", at positions 524 to 776 of the family's 1533-position model. The record is from RNAcentral.